Molecule: ribosomal RNA, 579 nt
Filed under: uncultured bacterium
Lineage: Bacteria
Description: bacterial SSU rRNA
Rfam family: Bacterial small subunit ribosomal RNA
Source: RNAcentral
CCUACGGGAGGCAGCAGUAAGGAAUAUUGGUCAAUGGAGGCAACUCUGAACCAGCCAUGCCGCGUGCAGGAUGAAGGCCCUAUGGGUCGUAAACUGCUUUUACACAAGAGAAAACCCGGGUACGUGUACCCGGUUGAUAGUAUUGUGAGAAUAAGCAUCGGCUAACUUCGUGCCAGCAGCCGCGGUAAGACGAAGGAUGCAAGCGUUAUCCGGAUUCAUUGGGUUUAAAGGGUGCGUAGGCGGACCAGUAAGUCAGUGGUGAAAUCUCUUUGCUUAACAAAGAAACUGCCAUUGAUACUGCUAGUCUAGAGUAUAGAUGACGUUGGCGGAAUAUGACAUGUAGUGGUGAAAUACUUAGAUAUGUCAUAGAACACCGAUUGCGAUGGCAGCUAACGAAACUAUAACUGACGCUGAGGCACGAAAGUGCGGGGAUCAAACAGGAUUAGAUACCCUGGUAGUCCGCACCGUAAACGAUGAUUACUCGUUGUUGGCAAUAUGACCGUCAGCGACCAAGCGAAAGCGAUAAGUAAUCCACCUGGGGAGUACGCCGGCAACGGUGAAACUCAAAGGAAUUGACGG